RNAcentral lists this small nuclear RNA (106 nucleotides) under Canis lupus familiaris (dog). Lineage: Eukaryota; Metazoa; Chordata; Mammalia; Carnivora; Canidae. The record is from RNAcentral.
GUGCUCGCUGCGGCAGCACAUGUACUAAAAUGGGAACAAUGCAGAGAAGAUUAGCGUGGCCCCUGCACAAGAGGGACAUGCAAAUUGUGAAGCAUUCCAUGUUUUU